AACGAACGCUGGCGGCAUGCCUAACACAUGCAAGUCGAACGAGACCUUCGGGUCUAGUGGCGCCCGGGUGCGUAACGCGUGGGAACCUGCCCUUAGGUUCGGCAUAACUCCCCGAAAGGGGUGCUAAUACCGGAUAAUGUCUUCGGACCAAAGAUUUAUCGCCUUUGAAUGGGCCCUCGUUGGAUUAGCUAGUCGGUAGGGUAAAAGCCUACCACGGCGACGAUCCAUAGCUGGUCUGAGAGGAUGAUCAGCCACACUGGGACUGAGACACGGCCCAGACUCCUACGGGAGGCAGCAGUGGGGAAUAUUGGACAAUGGGCGAAAGCCUGAUCCAGCAAGGCCGCGUGAGUGAUGAAGGCCUUAGGGUUGUAAAGCUCUUUUACCCGGGAUGAUAAUGACAGUACCGGGAGAAUAAGCUCCGGCUAACUCCGUG
Molecule: ribosomal RNA, 433 nt
Filed under: uncultured bacterium
Lineage: Bacteria
Description: partial 16S ribosomal RNA
Rfam family: Bacterial small subunit ribosomal RNA
Source: RNAcentral